This 253-nucleotide ribosomal RNA is filed under the name uncultured bacterium. RNAcentral's name for it is "partial 16S ribosomal RNA". It matches the Rfam family "Bacterial small subunit ribosomal RNA", at positions 524 to 776 of the family's 1533-position model. The record is from RNAcentral.
UACGUAGGGUCCGAGCGUUGUCCGGAAUUACUGGGCGUAAAGAGCUCGUAGGUGGUUUGUCGCGUUGUUCGUGAAAACUCACAGCUCAACUGUGGGCGUGCGGGCGAUACGGGCAGACUAGAGUACUGCAGGGGAGACUGGAAUUCCUGGUGUAGCGGUGGAAUGCGCAGAUAUCUGGAGGAACACCGGUGGCGAAGGCGGCAUCCUGGACCGGCAUUGACGCUGAGGAGCGAAAGCCAGGGGAGCAAACGGG